CGAGCAGGCGGUGCUGCGGCCCCGGCACAUCGAGGUGCAGAUCCUCGCGGACGGCCAGGGCAACGUCAUGCACCUGUUCGAGCGGGACUGCUCGC
This 95-nucleotide transfer RNA is filed under the name Tersicoccus solisilvae. Its description in RNAcentral is "tRNA-Leu". The record is from RNAcentral. Lineage: Bacteria; Bacillati; Actinomycetota; Actinomycetes; Micrococcales; Micrococcaceae.